This 271-nucleotide ribosomal RNA is filed under the name uncultured bacterium. RNAcentral's name for it is "partial 16S ribosomal RNA". It matches the Rfam family "Bacterial small subunit ribosomal RNA", at positions 524 to 794 of the family's 1533-position model. The record is from RNAcentral.
UACAGAGGUGGCAAGCGUUGUUCGGAAUUACUGGGCGUAAAGGGCGCGUAGGCGGCCAUCUAAGUCAGACGUGAAAUCCCCAGGCUCAACCUGGGAACUGCGUCUGAUACUGGACGGCUUGAGUUUGGGAGAGGGAUGUAGAAUUCCAGGUGUAGCGGUGAAAUGCGUAGAUAUCUGGAGGAACAUCAGUGGCGAAGGCGGCCCCCUGGAUCAAUACUGACGCUGAGGUGCGAAAGCGUGGGGAGCAAACAGGAUUAGAAACCCCGGUAGU